UACCCAUACUGUGGACACUUUCUGAGUAGUCCCUUGAACCUUUUCCAUGCCUUAUAAAGAGAUUCACUUUCCUUAUGCUCAAAAGAAGUUAUAUCAGCCUUCAGCUU
Gastrolobium bilobum is the source of this 107-nucleotide small nucleolar RNA. NCBI's taxonomy places the organism in Eukaryota, Viridiplantae, Streptophyta, Magnoliopsida, Fabales, Fabaceae. The record is from RefSeq and is a predicted model, not a curated record.